UGUCCGGUGAACGUAGGGGAACGACGAACGGCUCAGCAGUUCUGCGAUGAUUUGCUCUCUGCGGACGAUAAGCACGGGAAAGUGGGGCUAAGAGCGGAGAAUAAGACGCGGACCUAUCAGGUUGUUGGCAGUGUAAUGGACUACCAAGGCGGUGACGGGAGAUAGGGGUCUGAUUCCGGAGAGGGAGCCUGAGAGAUGGCUCCCACGUCCAUGGACGGCAGCAGGCGCGGAAAUUGCGCACUCCCGAGGCAGUUAUGAGACGUGGCUCAGGACCCGACAGCAGAGGUGUUGGGGUGAGGCGACCGGAGGGCAAGUUUGGUGCCAGCAGCCGCGG
RNAcentral lists this ribosomal RNA (334 nucleotides) under Microsporidium sp. IVG. Its description in RNAcentral is "SSU rRNA". It matches the Rfam family "Microsporidia small subunit ribosomal RNA", at positions 55 to 405 of the family's 1311-position model. The record is from RNAcentral. Lineage: Eukaryota; Fungi; Microsporidia.